This 67-nucleotide small RNA is filed under the name Beta vulgaris subsp. vulgaris (sugar beet). RNAcentral describes it as "Makes More Granules Regulator RNA (mmgR)". It matches the Rfam family "Makes More Granules Regulator RNA (mmgR)". From Rfam's summary of the family: SuhB later renamed mmgR (makes more granules regulator) was a putative non-coding RNA found multiple times in the Agrobacterium tumefaciens genome and related alpha-proteobacteria. Lineage: Eukaryota; Viridiplantae; Streptophyta; Magnoliopsida; Caryophyllales; Amaranthaceae. The record is from Rfam by way of RNAcentral.
UGUAAAUGCCCUCCUUGGGUGUUUCCUCCCUAGACUUGACCGCGCUUUUGAGCGCGGUUCUUUUUUG